This 427-nucleotide ribosomal RNA is filed under the name uncultured Psychrobacter sp. RNAcentral's name for it is "bacterial SSU rRNA". It matches the Rfam family "Bacterial small subunit ribosomal RNA", at positions 355 to 774 of the family's 1533-position model. Lineage: Bacteria; Pseudomonadati; Pseudomonadota; Gammaproteobacteria; Moraxellales; Moraxellaceae. The record is from RNAcentral.
UGGGGAAUAUUGGACAAUGGGGGCAACCCUGAUCCAGCCAUGCCGCGUGUGUGAAGAAGGCCUUUUGGUUGUAAAGCACUUUAAGCAGUGAAGAAGACUCCGUGGUUAAUACCCACGGACGAUGACAUUAGCUGCAGAAUAAGCACCGGCUAACUCUGUGCCAGCAGCCGCGGUAAUACAGAGGGUGCAAGCGUUAAUCGGAAUUACUGGGCGUAAAGCGAGCGUAGGUGGCUUGAUAAGUCAGAUGUGAAAUCCCCGGGCUUAACCUGGGAACUGCAUCUGAUACUGUUAGGCUAGAGUAGGUGAGAGGAAGGUAGAAUUCCAGGUGUAGCGGUGAAAUGCGUAGAGAUCUGGAGGAAUACCGAUGGCGAAGGCAGCCUUCUGGCAUCAUACUGACACUGAGGCUCGAAAGCGUGGGUAGCAAACA